Oryctolagus cuniculus (rabbit) is the source of this 512-nucleotide non-coding RNA. The record is from RefSeq and is a predicted model, not a curated record. NCBI's taxonomy places the organism in Eukaryota, Metazoa, Chordata, Mammalia, Lagomorpha, Leporidae.
GUUCUGCCUGAGCUGUGUGGCUCCUGUCCCUGCCAGCUGGGCCAGGCGGGGCGGAGCACUGAAAGUGGUAUUUGAUUUCCAGUGCUCUCUCCCCUCCUCCCAUUGUUCCUCCAUUCUUCUGUGACCCUCAUCUCAUCAGCCGGCGGGCCCAGGAGAGCUGUCCAGCAGCAGAGGGGAAGGGCAGAGGCCCGCACAGCACCAGGACACCCCGCAUUCCACCGAGCCUCGCCCCUGUCAUCCCCCCUUCAAUGGCCUUUAAGAACCAAGCCCAGCCCACUUCCCAGCUGGGAAGCAAAGCCAGACGACAGGAGGGCAACCAUGGGGACCAGUCUGUAACUGUUUCUUAAGCAACACUUCAUGUUGUUAGGUCUGUCAGUCCCACCCCAAGAGGAAGCCUCAGCUGAUGGGGAAAGACCACGGCCCUGAAUGAGACCCUCCACAUCUGCAGAGGUCAGAGGCAGCCAGAGCAUGCAGCCCGGCUCCAAAUCAGACAUCUCCCACCUGAAAACCCC